GUGAAAUGAUGCAGAAAGUGAGUGUGUGCAUGGUCUGUUGUUUUUGAAUAGUGUGAUGGAUGAGGGAGAAAUGUAAAUGAUUUAGUGUUAUUCUUUAUAUUUUAUUUUAUUUGUUUUAAAAGGUUAAGAUCUGUUUUGAAACUUAGAAAGUGCAAUCUUUCAUUUUCUUUGAAUUUCGAUUUAGGGGAGUUUUAAAUAGAAUAUUAAGUACAAUUUCCUAAUUUUUUGUGUACUUACAACGAAAAAAUUUUCUUUAAUCAAUUUUUUGCUGUAUAAAUUCUUCAAAAAUGUUUUUAGUUAGCUAAAGAUGAAAUCUGGGAGCUAUAAUCAAAUAUAUCUUGUUGUUACGUGUUAUCAAUGCAAAAUGUGACUUGAAACAUAUAACAUGUGAUCUAUAACUUGUGACUCGGAAGCUGCGACAAUUGCGUAAUUAUGAUUUGUAACGAAGAUUGGUGUUGGAUUGGGAUCGAUAGUGGGGGUAUUUGGUGCAUGUGACCAAUAAAUUUGAAUAUAUAUGACCUUGUGAUUUGUAAUUUUUUUGAUUUGUGACCUGUAAAUUUUUGAUCUGUGACUUACAAAUUUUUUGAAUUUGUGAUUCGAAAUAAUCUGUAACCAAUUAAUUCGAUGAUAUGUGACCAAUAAUUAUGAAUCUGUGACAAUUAAUUGUGUAAUUG
This 674-nucleotide long non-coding RNA is filed under the name Olea europaea subsp. europaea. Lineage: Eukaryota; Viridiplantae; Streptophyta; Magnoliopsida; Lamiales; Oleaceae. The record is from RNAcentral.